This 255-nucleotide ribosomal RNA is filed under the name uncultured bacterium. Its description in RNAcentral is "partial 16S ribosomal RNA". It matches the Rfam family "Bacterial small subunit ribosomal RNA", at positions 524 to 776 of the family's 1533-position model. The record is from RNAcentral.
UACGUAGGGUGCGAGCGUUUGUCCGGAAUUACUGGGCGUAAAGAGCUCGUAGGUGGUUUUGUCGCGUUGUCCAUGAAAACUCACAACUCAAUUGUGGGCGUGCGGGCGAUACGGGCAGACUGGAGUACUGCAGGGGAGACUGGAAUUCCUGGUGUAGCGGUGGAAUGCGCAGAUAUCAGGAGGAACACCGGUGGCGAAGGCGGGUCUCUGGGCAGUAACUGACGCUGAGGAGCGAAAGCGUGGGGAGCGAACAGG